ACAAAUUUAGGUCAGUGGAGGUUACAAAACACGGAACGGCAAGCAGACGACUCACAGAUAGGCGGAAAGAACAUUUCAGAGCGGUCUAGGUAGAAGAAAGGUUGUUUGCAGGAGGAACAAUAACUAAAAUUUUUGAUCAACUUUAUUUACGGUUGAUUUACAAAAAAAACGGUUUUGUUUUUCUUUGAUCCGAACAAAAUCAAAAAUUUUAUUUCGAAGCACUUCGGAAUGGCCUUUUUACCUUCCAAGGACGAGAAAUGUUUGUUUUGCUCCAUGUCAGAGUCGACGUCGGAGGACGUAGAUUGGGUCCAAUGCGGAAAGUGUGAAAAUUGGGCUCAUUUUUCUUGCGCGGGUGUUGACCAGGAGGUAGCGAAAUCCAAUUGGUAUUGCCCACAGUGUGUCCCAACGAGUGUUCAGCAGUUGAAGAUUCCAGACGCAGGAGGCAAGAAGCGAGGUAGCAAGAA
Ochlerotatus camptorhynchus is the source of this 464-nucleotide long non-coding RNA. RefSeq lists it as uncharacterized. NCBI's taxonomy places the organism in Eukaryota, Metazoa, Arthropoda, Insecta, Diptera, Culicidae. The record is from RefSeq and is a predicted model, not a curated record. The transcript has 3 exons.